CUGGUGGCUGGAGGAGACGCCGGCGCUGGAGAGUGCGCUGCGCCGCCGGCCGCUGAGGGACCGCGGGGUUCGCCGCUGCUGGCUGCUUCCAGUGUUCGCCGAGAGGUACCGGGGGUGACAGCUCUGGGACCGGCCGAAAGGCGAGGAACCGGUCCACUGGCUAUUCUGAGGUGAUAGUUGUCGUUGGAGGAUGUGAGCGAGUUGGAGGAUUUAAUCUUCCAUACACUGAGUGCUACGAUCCUGUAACAGGAGAAUGGAAGUCUUUGGCUAAGCUUCCAGAAUUUACCAAAUCAGAGUAUGCAGUCUGUGCUCUAAGGAAUGACAUUCUUGUUUCAGGUGGAAGAAUCAACAGCCGUGAUGUCUGGAUUUAUAACUCACAGUUAAAUAUUUGGAUCAGAGUUGCCUCUCUCAAUAAAGGCAGAUGGCGUCACAAAAUGGCUGUCCUCCUUGGUAAAGUAUACGUUGUUGGUGGCUAUGAUGGGCAAAACAGACUUAGCAGCGUAGAAUGUUAUGAUUCCUUUUCAAAUCGAUGGACUGAAGUUGCU
Molecule: small RNA, 545 nt
Filed under: Pongo abelii (Sumatran orangutan)
Lineage: Eukaryota; Metazoa; Chordata; Mammalia; Primates; Hominidae
Description: processed transcript
Source: RNAcentral